This 69-nucleotide transfer RNA is filed under the name Ictidomys tridecemlineatus (thirteen-lined ground squirrel). Its description in RNAcentral is "Spermophilus tridecemlineatus (thirteen-lined ground squirrel) tRNA". It matches the Rfam family "tRNA". From Rfam's summary of the family: Transfer RNA (tRNA) molecules are approximately 80 nucleotides in length. The record is from Rfam by way of RNAcentral. Lineage: Eukaryota; Metazoa; Chordata; Mammalia; Rodentia; Sciuridae.
GGGAUUGUAGCUCAGUGGUAGAGCACUUGCCUAGCAUGUGUGAAGCCCUGGGUUCAAUUCCCAGCACCA